AGAGUUUGAUCCUGGCUCAGAAUCAACGCUGGCGGCGUGCCUAACACAUGCAAGUCGAACGAGAAAGUGGAGCAAUCCAUGAGUACAGUGGCGCACGGGUGAGUAACACGUGACUAACCUACCCUGGAGUGGGGGAUAACUGAGGGAAACCUUAGCUAAUACCGCAUAAUACCUACGGGUCAAAGGAGCAAUUCGCUUCAGGAGGGGGUCGCGGCCGAUUAGUUGGUUGGCGGGGUAAUGGCCCACCAAGACAGUGAUCGGUAUCCGGCCUGAGAGGGCGCACGGACACACUGGAACUGAAACACGGUCCAGACUCCUACGGGAGGCAGCAGUGGGGAAUUUUGCGCAAUGGGGGAAACCCUGACGCAGCAACGCCGCGUGGAGGAUGAAGUCCUUCGGGACGUAAACUCCUUUCGAUCGGGACGAUUAUGACGGUACCGGAAGAAGAAGCCCCGGCUAACUUCGUGCCAGCAGCCGCGGUAAUACGAGGGGGGCGAGCGUUGUUCGGAAUUAUUGGGCGUAAAGGGUGCGUAGGCGGUUUGGUAAGUCUUAUGUGAAAUCUAUGGGCUCAACUCAUAGACUGCAUGAGAAACUGCCGGGCUUGAGUAUGGGAGAGGUGAGUGGAAUUCCUGGUGUAGCGGUGAAAUGCGUAGAUAUCAGGAGGAACACCUGUGGCGAAAGCGGCUCACUGGACCAUAACUGACGCUGAUGCACGAAAGCUAGGGGAGCAAACAGGAUUAGAUACCCUAGUAGUCC
RNAcentral lists this ribosomal RNA (756 nucleotides) under uncultured bacterium. RNAcentral describes it as "bacterial SSU rRNA". It matches the Rfam family "Bacterial small subunit ribosomal RNA", at positions 8 to 796 of the family's 1533-position model. The record is from RNAcentral.